This 446-nucleotide ribosomal RNA is filed under the name uncultured bacterium. RNAcentral's name for it is "partial 16S ribosomal RNA". It matches the Rfam family "Bacterial small subunit ribosomal RNA", at positions 331 to 794 of the family's 1533-position model. The record is from RNAcentral.
CCAGACUCCUACGGGAGGCAGCAGUGGGGAAUAUUGCACAAUGGGCGAAAGCCUGAUGCAGCAACGCCGCGUGAGCGAUGAAGGCCUUCGGGUCGUAAAGCUCUGUCCUCAAGGAAGAAAAUGACGGUACCUGACUAAGAAGCCCCGGCUAACUACGUGCCAGCAGCCGCGGUAAUACGUAGGGGGCAAGCGUUAUCCGGAAUUACUGAGUGUAAAGGGAGCGCAGACGGCAGUGCAAGUCUGGAGUGAAAGCCCGUGGCUUAACUACGGGACUGCUCUGGAAACUGUGCAGCUAGAGUGCAGGAGAGGCAGGCGGAAUUCCUAGUGUAGCGGUGAAAUGCGUAGAUAUUAGGAGGAACACCGGUGGCGAAGGCGGCCUGCUGGACUGUGACUGACGUUGAGGCUCGAAAGCGUGGGGAGCAAACAGGAUUAGAUACCCUCGUAGA